GUCGAUCCGUUGGGGUGCCGCAAGGCUGAGAGGCGCAAGUCGCCAACCCAUCGAACCUGAUCCGGAUAAUGCCGGCGAAGGGAACGGUCGUCGCAGCGUC
This 100-nucleotide non-coding RNA is filed under the name Allobosea sp. RAC05. RNAcentral describes it as "Bosea sp. RAC05 TPP riboswitch aptamer (THI element)". It matches the Rfam family "TPP riboswitch aptamer (THI element)". Rfam says of the family: Vitamin B(1) in its active form thiamin pyrophosphate (TPP) is an essential coenzyme that is synthesised by coupling of pyrimidine and thiazole moieties in bacteria. The previously detected thiamin-regulatory element, thi box was extended, resulting in a new, highly conserved RNA secondary structure, the THI element, which is widely distributed in eubacteria and also occurs in some archaea. Analysis of operon structures identified a large number of new candidate thiamin-regulated genes, mostly transporters, in various prokaryotic organisms. RNAcentral also lists the same sequence under 1 other name. The record is from Rfam by way of RNAcentral. Lineage: Bacteria; Pseudomonadati; Pseudomonadota; Alphaproteobacteria; Hyphomicrobiales; Alloboseaceae.